GCGCAGCAGGCAAGAAACCUCCGCAAUACACGAAAAGUGUGACGGGGCCAUCCCGAGUGCCGUCCGCUGAGGACGGCUUUUCCCCAGUGUACAUAGCUGGGGGAAUAAGGAGAGGGCAAGCCUGGUGUCAGCCGCCGCGGUAAUACCAGCUCUCCGAGUGGUGGGGACGCUUAUUGGGCCUAAAGCAUCCGUAGCCGGCUAGGCAAGUCCUCCGUUAAAUCCAACGAUUCAAUCGUUGGGCUGCGGGGGAUACUGGUCCAGCUUGGGGGCGGGAGAGGCCGACGGUAUUCCCGGGGUAGGGGUGAAAUCCUAUAAUCCCGGGAGGACCACCAGUGGCGAAGGCUGUCGGCUAGGAACGCGCCCGACGGUGAGGGAUGAAAGCGUGGGGGAGCGGAACCGGAUUAGAUACCC
Molecule: ribosomal RNA, 411 nt
Filed under: uncultured microorganism
Description: bacterial SSU rRNA
Rfam family: Archaeal small subunit ribosomal RNA
Source: RNAcentral